ACCUGCGGCGGGCCUCGGUGGGCGGUGCUAGCUGUGGGGUGAGCGCCGUGCCCGCGGGCGUUAGGCGGUGCGUCGGCAAAUGGCGGGUGGCCUCUGCCUUGUCCGACCCGGCCCAGCGGCCAACGCCACUUCUUCCAGGGAAUGAGUGCAGGACAACACACUCUGAAGCUCAGACGUUACAGAAAAGAAAAGUCAGUCUUAUAUUCAGACUCUGCCAAAAUAGCCAGAGACUUUAGAGUCUGUAGGUCUGUUUUGAUCUGAUCUUCAUAUUUUUGAGAUGCUACCUUGAUUAGAGCUUUUCGUGUUUCUCUGAGUUGUGUCAAGAGGAACCUAAGUAGAACGUGGAUGGAGACUUCUGUGAGGAAAGUCAGGCUGAACAGUCUGAAAAAAAGAAAAAAGUCUAGCAUGAAAGGCUGCUUGUUAUGUGCCCUGUGGGCUGCUCUGCCAGAGUCAGAUGUGAGCUGGGGUGAAAUGAUGGUAUGAGAUUGCAGAGCCAUUGUAAACAGGAGUCGUUCAAUGGAAAUGAAGUGAUGCCUGUCAGCAAGAGCAGAAUUCACUGUCAUUAUUGGUACCGACGGUAGUAGGAGGGUCAUGAGUAAUUCUACAGUGCAAUAGAAACAUAAUGCACUUUGCAAGCAGAGGUGUUUUGACAGUUAAGACAAGGAACAGAAAUCAUGUCAACUAGCACCAUGCAGUGGAACACGGGAGGGACUGCUGACAAAGAAAGGAAAUGGACAUAUAAAGGAAGAGAAGGAAUGCGUGUGCUGGAGAACUUCUGGAAUAGGGACCCCUUGCACUGAAAACAUUAACUGAAAGCUGAACUGGCAACUUCUGGUCUUGUUGUCUUCAGGACUGUUCCAAGUGGGGAAUUUUUCUUAGAAAAUCCUUAGCUGAGGAACUCUAAUCACCUGCUGCUUUUCAUUUUCGAACUUUGGAAUUUGUUUUGACUCUUUUCCUCUGUGCCGUGCACUCAACAUCACUUCUUUGUUAUCAGAUAGCCAGAAUGAAAUUUUCGUCUUCAGGCAGUAUUGUUCCAUGAGAAAGAGGAAGCUGUAGGCAGACUCCUGCAGAUAUGACCAAUGCAGCAGAAUUUGAGUUUCUGUGAAGAUCCCAGGUCCUGAAGACUCCCUGACUUGCUUUGUCUCUGUAUGGAAUCUGUGAAAGGCACGGACACAGAGUGCUGUACCUUUUUCCCUUGGCAUGGAAAGAGAAGACACACAGCCAGAAGUUAUCCACCAAGUGAACUUAUAUCUUGCGGUCUAUUAAAUCUCAAGGGUAGAAUAUGCACUGAGCCUGGCAGCCUGCAUGCAGAAGUCAUUUGUGAUCUCCUGAAAAGUUCUGAUGAUCAGAAGAAAAUGAAGGGCAAGUAGCACAUUUUGCCCAUGUCAUUCUAUUCCAUUUUUUGAGCCAUUUCCUCUUCUUCCACCUCUUUUAAACGUACCCAGAUUCAGGCAUUUCAGAUUCAGAGAUUUCAGUAUCUGAAAACAAAAGAUGUACUGCAGUAAAACAAUUUAUUCCACUCUGCUAUAAGCUGUUCUGGCUGCCAUCCUAAAAACUGCAAUAAAGGUGUACAAAAGCAAAGGUUUCAGCAGGCUUUUCCCAUUGGGAAAAAAAAAAAUGCAGCUUUACAUUUUAGAAAUAGCCAGACCUCUGUUCUUCAUCCCAGUUUAAUGGCCAUAGGGAAUCUAGAGAAGCUUUCUGCAACCCAUCCCAAAAAUAAAUGAAUCAAUAAGAAAAGUAAAUAAAUAAAAUAAUAAUCUAACAGGCAACAGAUGUUUAGACUUACUUCAGCUGCAAUUAAAAUAGUCUUUGUGUUACACAGUCUGUUUUAAAACUUCGCAUAGUCCCACCAUUUCUCAGAGUCUGUUCAUGCAUUAGGGCUGGACGUGUAUUUCCUCUUCUUCUUAGGCUCCCUCCCUGAACUCUUCUCUGUUUUAUAUAAAAGCACUUCAGUGAAUGUGCCUGGUUAGCUCUUCUUUGCUUCACCAAAGCAUCAGAUUUUACCAGCUGGUCUCUGCUUUUAUUAUGUUUGGGUUUUUUUGUUUUGCAAUUUCCCUGCUAAGUAACUUCUCAGCAAGUCUACCAAAACAAAUCAAAUGUGGAAGUUCUACAUCAAGUCAGAGCAUGAAUUUUCCUCUGAGUAGUCAAAAAUAAUGUAUUAUUGUCUCACUAUUAAAACUGUUAGCUGUUUUGAACUAUAUUUGCACCAGCGCAGUUGCUUUUUGAUACAGAAAUAUUGUCAGUCUCUUUUUGGAAUGCCUGGAUGUUAGUUUUUAAUUUUGACUACUAUAAACCAAGCAGGGGCAUCUAGCUUGACCGUUAUUACAAAAGAAAAGUAUUUACUUGUCAGGAAGUACUGAGGAGGUAGUAGUUUGCAUAUUAGCUCAGUGGUAGGCAAUAUCACUUGUAAAUCACACUUUUCUAGUGUUCCAGUCCACAUAUCUCAUAUGACAAGUGAACUGAAAGUCUGGAUGUCUUUCAGAAAGGGGCCUGGCGUUUUAUUGUGGGGGAAACAUUCCGGCAAAAUUAACAAAUCCAGUGAUAGAAUGUCUGUUUAACUCAUAAAUCUCUAGAGAAAAUUCAGUUUUAGCCUGGAGCUAUGUUUAUAUGUAUGACAACAAAAUUAGAAUCAAAGCCCCUUGCCUGGCCUAAGGGAAAGGAAAUGCAUCAUGAGAAUUAGGACACUUUCCAACACUAAGGAUUCCUUAUAAUUUUCCAUUGAACACCUCCAGGUUAACAUUGUAGCAACAAGACUCCCACAGUGGAAUGUUAUACAGUCCUUUCUUGAUAAGUGCUACACUUCUAAAGGAAGGAUAUAAAGGUCAAGGUUAGGAGGACUACAGUGAUUUACCAGCAGAAAUCUGUUAGGUGUUUUGAAGGGGGUGUUAUUCAAAUGUCUGCUUUAUUUCUAAACAAUUGACUGAAUUCAGCUGUGUUUUUUUUUUUUUUGAUUGCAAGGUUGCUGGAAAGAAGAGAGCAGCAGAUUCAUUACUGUUGCUAAAAACUGAAUAAAUAAACUUCUCAAAGGGCUUUUCUAGUCCGAACUUCAAAUGUCAAGCUAUUCUGACCUUCGCAACUGAUAAUGCCUUAAUGACACCUGCUAUCACUGCCUCUUUGCAGUGUGCCUCUGAGUGCUACCACGAUCAGCAUCAGCCAAGUUUGUAUCUAGUGGUAUCUGUGGAAAAUUGAUUUCUAUUCAUUAUAAAACAAUUUACCCCUUAGCUAGGGGCAAUUU
This is a long non-coding RNA of Gallus gallus (chicken), 3235 nucleotides long. RefSeq lists it as uncharacterized. The record is from RefSeq and is a predicted model, not a curated record. The transcript is spliced from 3 exons. Lineage: Eukaryota; Metazoa; Chordata; Aves; Galliformes; Phasianidae.